Molecule: ribosomal RNA, 360 nt
Filed under: Candidatus Stercorousia faecigallinarum
Lineage: Bacteria; Bacillati; Candidatus Melainabacteria; Candidatus Gastranaerophilales; Candidatus Gastranaerophilaceae
Description: partial 23S ribosomal RNA
Rfam family: Bacterial large subunit ribosomal RNA
Source: RNAcentral
AAGGGUUGGGCUGUUCGCCCAUUAAAGCGGCACGCGAGCUGGGUUCAGAACGUAGUGAGACAGUUCGGUCCAUAUCCGGUAUACGCGCAAGAGAUUUGAACGGAGUCUUCCUUAGUACGAGAGGACCGGGAAGAGGGGACCUCCAGUGUACGGGUUAUCGCGCCAGCGGUAAACGCCCGGUAGCUGUGUUCCAAGCGGAUAAGUGCUGAAAGCAUAUAAGUACGAAGCCCACCGUAAGAUGAGAUCUCUCAUGACACAAGUCAGUAAGUCCCCGUGCAGAUUACACGGUUGAUAGGUCAGAGAUGUAAGAAUGGCAACAUUUUCAGUCGACUGAUACUAAUAGGACGAGGGCUUUUCCUA